This 5083-nucleotide long non-coding RNA is filed under the name Cebus imitator (Panamanian white-faced capuchin). RNAcentral's name for it is "lncRNA (ENSCCAG00000038211.1)". Lineage: Eukaryota; Metazoa; Chordata; Mammalia; Primates; Cebidae. The record is from RNAcentral.
CUGGUGCUAGCAACUCCCUACCCUCUCUGGCCUCUGGACCUAGCUUGAAGUUCUGGAUUAUUUCCUUCUUCCUUGUACCUCAGCCUGAGCCUUCUGUCACCCAAAGGGCUCCAGCUGGUUUUUCACUCAGGCCUCAUUUUAUCUUCCAAGAUGAAGGAACUAAGACACAGAGAUUGAGACUUGUCUAAAGUAACAUGACCAGUAAGUGCUUGAAUUAAUGGAGGUAGGUAGUGAUGGUUAUGUUCUAAUCUGCCAAGGGCUUUUCCUUGCUGUCAUCUGGUCUGAGUGCUAGGGAUAUAAAUCCAUAUCGCCAAAAUGGUAGGGAACAGGAAAGGUAGUAAGUAGAUGGACUUUGGGACUACACCAGAAAAAAUGGUGCUAUUCUUUUUAAUUUCUUCCUUUUUGUACUUUUGUUUGUUUUCUAACCUGUAAGCAAUGAUAAGCAGAUAUUGUCUUUAGUUGUUAUUGUUAGAUGAAUGAAGUUUUUGUUUUAACUGUAGAUUAUCCCUGAGGAACUAAGGAAGUAGAAAAUCUGGAGAGAAGUCUGUUGGGAUUCUCACAAGGAAAUAGCUAUUGGAUCAACUAAGCAAAGGAGAAAGUUAAUAGUAUGUGGAUAAACCACAUGUGCAUAACUUUUUAGGAUUCUCUUGUGAAGAUUUUUAAAAUCUUGUUUAAAACAUAUUAACACCUUAAUAUAAAAAUCUUAGAGCUUGAGCGUACUUACCCAACUGUGGUUUUCUUUAGAUGAGAAAACUGAGGUCCAGAGAAGUUGAAGCUUUCCCAAGGUCACACAGCAGAGCUGGAACUAAAGCUUGCAUUUCCUGACUUCCAGAUUAGUGUUAUUUUUACUUCAAACUAUUACUUCUUGGUGAGUUAUUGUGGGAAAAAUCCUGUAUUUUGAAGAUGUUUCUACGCAGUAUCGUUUCCUGUUUAAAUUACAGAUAACUUCAAGAGUUUUCAGAAAAAAAGAAAUUGGGACUUUUUUGGUUAAAUCAUGCCAUCUGAACAGAAACAGUUAUUUUGUGAUGAAAAACAAACUACUUUAAAAAAAGUUUAUGAUGUGAAAAAUGAAAUAGUUGAUAGAUCAGUACCUAAACCAAAAAUUUCAGAAAGUAUUCAUUAUGAACUGAAAAAUGUGAAAAUUCAUUUGCCAAAAAUAAAUAUUCCAAAUGAAGUCCUAUUGAAAGAUGAAGUUGACAAAUACAGAAAAUUAUUUCAGAGUAAACAGCAGACUGCAAGAAAAUCUAUCAGUAUAAAGACUAUAAGCUGUAUAGAGGAGUGUACAUUGCUUCAUAAGUCUGAGCGAGCUGAAGAAGAGGGUAUAAACAUGUCUGCAAAAAUACUCAAUUUCAGCUGUUUAAAAUGCUGCGACAACACUCGGUAUAGCCCAAAUGAUUUGCAGAAACACUUUCAAAUGUGGCACCAUGGUGAAUUACCUUCAUAUCCUUGUGAAAUGUGCAGCUUUUCAGCAAAUGACUUUCAGGUAUUUAAACAACACAGACGAACCCAUAGAAGCACUUUAGUAAAAUGUGACAUUUGUAACAAUGAGAGUGUAUAUACUUUACUGAACUUGACAAAGCAUUUCACAUCCACACAUUGUGUUAAUGGUAAUUUUCAAUGUGAAAAGUGUAAAUUCUCCACCCAGGAUGUUGGCACAUUUGUUCAACACAUUCAUAGACAUAACGAAAUUCAUUAUAAGUGUGGUAAAUGUCAUCAUGUAUGUUUUACCAAAGGAGAGCUUCAGAAGCACCUUCAUGUUCAUUCUGGUACUUUUCCCUUCACUUGUCAAUAUUGUAGCUAUGGUGCCACCAAGAGAGAACACCUUGUAAGACAUGUUGUAACUUUGCACAAAGAACAUUUAUAUGCAAAAGAAAAACUGGAAAAAGACAAAUAUGAUAAAAGGAUGGCCAAGACUUCAGCAGGACUUAAGCUAAUACUGAAAAGAUAUAAAAUAGGUGCAUCAAGGAAGACAUUCUGGAAACGUAAGAAAAUUAACAGUGGAAAUGACAGAAGUAUAGAAAAGAACACUCAGGUGCUUAAAAAAAUGAACAAAACACAGAUUAAAUCUGAAGACCAGAGCCAUCUUGUUCAAGAGCAUUUAAGUGAAGAAAAGGAUGAAACACUACACUGUGAGAAUAAUAAUAAAGUCACUGAAUCAGAGUCAGAGAAGCCAACUCUUCUGUCCACCGGGCAAGGGAAAGCAACUUCAGAAAAAGAAAUGACUUUGAUAUCUCAAAGGAAUAAUAUGCUUCAAACAAUGGAUUAUGAGAAAAGUGUAUCUUCUUUGCCAACAACGUCAGAAUUGGUUACAGCAUCAGUGAAUUUGACCACAAAAUUUGAAACAAGAGAUAAUGUUGACUUCUGGGGAAAUCAUCUCACUCACAAUCAUCCCGAGGUAUUAGGUACCACCAUUAAAAGUCCAGAUAAAGUCAACUGUGUUACCAAACCAAAUGCAUACAACAGUGGAGAUAUGCAUAAUUAUUGCAUUAAUUAUGGCAGCUCUGAGUUAACUGUUGAAUCGUCCAACCAAGGAUCAUUACCGUUUCAUAAUUACUCAAAAGUGAAUAAUUCAAAUAAACGUCGUAGGUUUUCAGGAACAGCAGUGUAUGAAAACCCUCAAAGAGAAUCUUCAUCCAGCAAAACAGUUGUCCAGCAACCAAUUAGUGAAUCAUUUUUGUCACUAGUGAGGAAGGAAAGCUCAAAACCAGAUAGCCUGUUAGCAUCUAUUAGCCUUUUAAAUGAUAAAGAUGGAACUUUGAAAGCAAAAUCUGAAAUUGAAGAACAGUAUGUUUUAGAAAAAGGACAAAACAUUGAUGGACAAAACCUGUACAGUAAUGAAAAUCAAAAUUUAGAGUGUACAACUGAAAAAUCUAAAUGGGAUAACUUUUCUAAUGUUGAUUCACCUAUGAUGCCUAGAAUCACAUCAGUUUUCUCUCUCCAGAGCCAACAGGCAUCAGAAUUUCUGCCACCUGAAGUAAACCAAUUGCUUCAGGAUGUAUUGAAAAUAAAACCUGAUGUAAAACAAGAUUCUAGUAACACUCCAGAUAAAGGCCUUCCACUUCAUUGUGACCAGUCAUUUCAAAAACAUGAGGGAGAAAGCAAAAUUGUUGAACCUUCAAAAGAUUGCAAAGUGCAAGGCAUCUUCCCGGCUCCACCUGGCAGUGUGGGUAUUAACGUGCCUGCAAAUGAUUUGAAUUUGAAAUUUGGAAAAGAAAAACAAAUGCCAUCAAUGCCACAAGAUGUGAGAGAUUCAGAGAAGAUACCUAGAAUUUCAGGUUUUGGCACAUUACUUAAGACUCAGUCAGAUGCAAUAAUAACACAGCAGCUUGUAAAAGACAAACUACGAGCCACCACACAAAAUUUAGGUUCUUUUUAUAUGCAGAGUCCACUUUUAAAUUCAGAGCAAAAAAGAACUAUAGUUGUUCAGACUUCAAAAGGACUUUUUGUACCAGUGAACAUUACUAACAAGCCUGGGUUACCGGUUGUUCCAGGAAAUGCACUUCCAUUUGUUAAUUCACAAGGUAUGCCUGCUUCUCUUGUUGUAAACAAGAAACCUGGGAUGAUUUUAACAUUUAAUAAUGGGAAACUUGAAGGUGUUUCCACUGUCAAAACGGAGGGUGCCCAAGCUCAUGGAACUAUGACUAAGGAGCCUUGCAAAACACCUAUUUUGAAGGUAGAACCAAACAAUAAUUGUCUUACACCUGCACUUUGUUCCAGCAUUGGCAGUUGUUUGAGCAUGAAAAGUAACUCAGAAAAUACUUUGCCAUUAAAAGGUCCUUACAUUUUGAAACCAACAAGUUCUGUAAAAGCUGUUUUUAUUCCUAAUAUGCUAUCUGAGCAACAGAACACUAAGUUGAAUAUCUCAGAUUCAGUAAAACAGCACAAGGAGAUUUUUCCAAAACCACCUCUUUAUACCCUCUUGCCUGAUGGCAAACAAGCUGUUUUUUUAAAGUGUGUGAUGCCAAAUAAAACUGAGCUACUUAAGCCCAAAUUAGUCCAAAAUAGUACUUAUCAAAAUAUACAGCCAAAGAAACCUGAAGGAACACCACAAAGAAUAUUGCUGAAAAUUUUUAACCCUGUUUUAAAUGUGACUGCUGCUAAUAAUCUGUCAGUAAGCAACUCUGCGUCCUCAUUGCAAAAAGACAAUGUACCAUCUAAUCACAUUAUAGGAGGAGAGCAGAAAGAGCCAGAAUCUUCUAGAGAUGCCUUACCCUUCUUACUAGAUGACUUAAUGCCAGCAAAUGAAAUUGUGAUAACUUCUUCUGCAACAUGCCCAGAGUCUUCUGAGGAACCAAUAUGUGUCAGUGACUAUUCAGAGGCCAGGGUAUUAAGAUGUAGAACAAAUUGUACAACUGAGAGAAACUUCAGUAGGAAAAAGACUUCCAAAAAAAUUUUUUCGAAAACAAAAACUCGUGGAAGUGAAGACUCGGAAACUGCCUUUGUAUCUAGAAACAGGAACUGUAAACGCAAGUGUAGGGAUAAUUACCAAGAACCUCCAAGAAGAAAAGCAACAUUGCAUAGAAAGUGUAAAGAAAAGGCAAAACCUGAAGAUGUCCGUGAAACAUUUGGAUUUAGCAAACCUAGGCUUUCAAAAGAUUCUGUCAGAACUUUGAGGCUUUUUCCUUUUAGUUCCAAACAGCUUGUGAAAUGUCCUAGGAGAAACCAACCAGUUGUAGUUUUGAAUCAUCCUGAUGCAGAUGCACCAGAAGUAGUAAGUGUGAUGAAAACUAUUGCGAAAUUUAAUGGACAUGUACUUAAGGUUUCAUUGUCAAAAAGAACUAUCAAUGCUUUACUGAAACCAGUUUGCUAUAACCCUCCUAAAACAACUUACGACGAUUUUUCCAAGAGGCACAAAACAUUUAAACCUGUUAGUUCUGUGAAAGAAAGAUUUGUGCUAAAAUUAACACUCAAAAAGACAAGCAAAAACAAUUAUCAAAUUGUGAAGACUACCUCUGAAAAUAUUUUGAAGGCUAAAUUUAACUGUUGGUUUUGUGGUAGAGUAUUUGACAAUCAGGAUACUUGGGCUGGUCAUGGUCAGAGACAUUUAAUGGAAGCUACUCGGGAUUGGAACAUAUUAGAAUAG